GGAGUAAUGGCUGAGAGGCUGAAGGCACUUCCCUGCUAAGGAAGCAUGUGGGGUCAACCUGCAUCGAGGGUUCGAAUCCUCUUACUCCGCCA
Molecule: transfer RNA, 92 nt
Filed under: Conchiformibius kuhniae
Lineage: Bacteria; Pseudomonadati; Pseudomonadota; Betaproteobacteria; Neisseriales; Neisseriaceae
Description: tRNA-Ser
Rfam family: tRNA
About the family: Transfer RNA (tRNA) molecules are approximately 80 nucleotides in length. Their secondary structure includes four short double-helical elements and three loops (D, anti-codon, and T loops).
Source: RNAcentral